This 76-nucleotide transfer RNA is filed under the name Flavonifractor sp. An82. RNAcentral's name for it is "tRNA-Ala". It matches the Rfam family "tRNA". Rfam says of the family: Transfer RNA (tRNA) molecules are approximately 80 nucleotides in length. Their secondary structure includes four short double-helical elements and three loops (D, anti-codon, and T loops). The record is from RNAcentral. Lineage: Bacteria; Bacillati; Bacillota; Clostridia; Eubacteriales; Oscillospiraceae.
GGGGUUGUAGUUCAGAUGGGAGAACACCUGCUUUGCAAGCAGGGGGUCACGGGUUCGAGUCCCGUCAGCUCCACCA